GUACCUCUUUGCUUUUCUGACAGGGAUUUAAGGAGAAAUCCUCUGGACUACACUGACACUCAGUGUGAACAUCCACCUCUUUUUUCUUUUUUUUCUUUCUGUUCUCUCCUGUGUAACCGUUCUCUGUUACAUGUUCCACUGCCCAUCUCUAAUGUAUUGAUCUCAUGGGAAAGAUGCCACCUGAGAAAAUACUCUGAUUAAUUUCUGCUCCUUGCUGAACUGUAUUUUAUCCAGGGAGCUGAAAUUUCACCUUUUAGCAGAAAAGCACUCUGUGAACUAGAGGUUUAACUAACUCAGGCAGUGAUGGGUCUAUACUGCAUCUCCUGGGAGGUAAUUUCACAAACCACAAGACUUCACACAGGAAAAAAAGCAUAAAAUGCUCCCUCCAAGGCAACCUUUCACCCUAGCAUAUCGUCACAGCCUUACAGAAUUCCCAAGAAGCUGAACUCAUACCUUACUUAAGCAGGUGAAAAUCUGAUGGCAGAGGAGGUGCAAUCAGCUCCACAACAUUUAUACCAUUUUAGUUCUGAGAUGCACUCCUCUAAUUGAUAUGCACUGAAGAUAAUGUAUGGGUUACAGCGAGGAAAGGACAAUCCUGCUUAGACUUUUUGUUCAGUUUUGGAAAGGAUGUUUUUAAAACCGGAAGAGAAAAACAGAACAAGCCUUAACAUUUGUAGUUGUAAACUGAAACACUCAACAAACAGGCAAGAAUGUUUAGUCCACAAGAAAGAAGAGAUUAAGAAGGAUCCUUUCCUGAAGGGGUGGAUCUUUGAUUCUUGCUUCCUAACCAGGAAUACUACAGAGAUACUUACAGAUACGAGGAUAUUAAUGAGGUGGAAAAUGAUGUGAGGAAAAAUGAGAGGAAUCUGAAAGGCAGCCAUAUAACACUGCCUAUAUAUGUCCCCCAUAAGUACUGAACAUCUGCAGGAGACACAUAUGUAAACGGCUUAGAGCCCUGGAAUAGUUCGCAAGUUCUCCGUCUCAGUGCAGUGUAUAGAAUGGAUAAAUAAAUAGUGGGCAUAUGUGGUAUAUAUUCAGAUGGUGCAUUAGACUUUAAAAUCUCUGUCUAACUGAAUGCAUUAGCCUGUAUUUUCUGUUUAUGUCUCUGGGAUGCCAUGGAAACACAGCACUGAAUCCUAAUGGGUCUCUCCUGGCAAUAAAUAAACAGUCUUUGUCUAUUUAUGUUUCAA
Long non-coding RNA from Pezoporus flaviventris, 1190 nucleotides. RefSeq lists it as uncharacterized. The transcript has 2 exons. Lineage: Eukaryota; Metazoa; Chordata; Aves; Psittaciformes; Psittacidae. The record is from RefSeq and is a predicted model, not a curated record.